GAUGAACGCUGGCGGCGUGCUUAACACAUGCAAGUCGAACGAUGAAGCCCAGCUCUCUGGGUGGUUUAGUGGCGAACGGGUGAGUAACACGCGAGUAACUUGCCCUUCACUCUGGGUUAAGCCUGGUCAACUGGGUCUAGUACCGGACAGGAGCGUCCACCGCAUGGUGGGUGUUGGAAAGAUUUAUCGGUUUUGGAUGGACUCGCGGCCUAUCAGCUUGUUGGUGAGGUAAUGGCUCACCAAGGCGUCGACGGGUAGCCGGCCUGGGAGGGUGACCGGCCACAAUGGGACUGAGGCACGGCCCAGACUCCUACGGGAGGCAGCAGUGGGGAAUAUUGCGCAAUAGGCGCAAGCCUGAUGCAGCGACGCCGCGUGAGGGAUGACGGCCUUCGGGUUAUAAACCUCUUUCAGUGGGGAAGAAGCGAAAGUGACGGUACCUGCAGAGGAAGCACCGGCUAACUACGUG
Molecule: ribosomal RNA, 466 nt
Filed under: uncultured bacterium
Lineage: Bacteria
Description: partial 16S ribosomal RNA
Rfam family: Bacterial small subunit ribosomal RNA
Source: RNAcentral